CCUUGCACAUAGGUCUUUCUUCUUUUCCGUACCUCUUUUUAAGAAUUUAAAUGCAUUCUCUAAUUUCAGUCUUUUUCUACUUUUUUAUAGCAACCAUGGGAGUUGACAUCGGACGUGGUUUGGUUAGGUUUUUUAUCGAAAGCGUGUUUUGAGAGAAUUUGAAAUUCUUAGGCUCAAAUCCUUGAUUAAUUUGAGUUGCCAGCGUUGUUUUAGGUGGUUUAAGGAUUGGUACAAGUUUAAAUAAUGUUGUGGGAUAUGUCCGUAGGUUUGAUUGAAGUCCGAGGGCCUCGGGAGUGUUUCAGAUGCUCAACAGGGCAUUUUUGUGAUGUUUAAAGUUGUAGAUUUUGCUUCAGCUGUUGCAGGCCAUUUUCCUUCUUCGCGAUCGCAUCUUUCCUUCCUCGAUUGCAUAGUGUAAAUACGGAGGGUGAUAUUAUUUUUCUACGCGAUCGCAUUAUUUGGUUCGCAAUCGAGGAAGUCAUCUUCCUCCUUCUUCGUGUUCGCAAUUGCACUCUCGCAUUUGCAUAGUAGAAAAUAGGAGCUAGUGCCUCAUUGUUAUUUCCUUUUUGUGAUCAUGUUACCCAGUUUGCGAUCGCAUAGGUAUGUUUCCUUCUCUUAUGCGAUCACAUGGCUUGGUAUGCGUUUGCAUAGGCCAUUUUUAGGAGACUUUAAACUUUACUCUUCGCGAUCGCAGCCAAAUUCCUACGAUUGCAUUGAACAAAUACCUGGGCAGUUAUAAACAUUUCAAAAAAUCUUAGGGUUAGCCAUUUUUACCAAACUCAAGUUUGGGAGCUCGGAUUUGGGAGAGAUUUCGAGGAAGUUUGAAGAGCAACAAUUCUAGACUCCUUUUUGCUCAUAACCCACAAAUCUAAUCAUGAAUUCACCUUUUAAUUUCAUAUUUGAGAUGAAAAAUGGGUAAAACUUUAUAGAUCGAAUUAUUAAGUUUUGAGUGGGUGUUUGACCUCCGGUUUGAGAGAUUUUUAUAUGGUUAGACUCGUGAGAGUACGAGGGUUCUAAAAAUAUUAAUUUCAUCCGAUUCCGAGAUAUUGCUUAAGGGACAUUUUUGUUAUUUUACCUAAUUUUGCGUCUUAGCUUUGAAUUAAAUAAUAUAAUCAGUUUCUUGAAAUGUUAUCGAGACAUGGUCCUGAGGGGCAUUUUGGUCAUUUUACAUAAUUUCACGUCUUAGCUUUGAAUUAAGCAGUAGAAUCAGUUUUUUGAGAUGUUAUUUAUGAUAUGUAAUUGAAUUGAAUAGAUUUGGGCAAUUCAGAGUCGGAUACUCAUGGCAAAAGUGUGAUUUCCAGGUGAUUUUGGAGCCGAUUCGAGGUAAGUGGCUUGUCUAACCUUGUGUGGGGGACCUUUCCCCUUAGGAUAUGAUAUUUGGUAAUUGAAUGCGUUGUACGUAAGGUGACAAGCGCGUACUUGAGCUAAUUGUUGAAAACCCAAUUUUGGCUUAAGAUAUUGAGUGAAUUUCUUUCGUAUUUGUUUUACUCUACUUGCAAUUAUAGCCUGUGUUAGUUUAGAAAAGCAUGCUUAGUUGAUUUAAAAGUCCUAUUUGCUUAAGUUUCCUUGCAUGUUAGGCUAGUGUUACCUGUUGCUUGUAUUUUUGUACUUCAUUUAGACAAGAGGGGUUGCUCUGAUGGUAAGCAACCCCCACUUCCAAUCGAGAGGUUGUGANNNNNNNNNNNNNNNNNNNNNNNNNNNNNNNNNNNNNNNNNNNNNNNNNNNNNNNNNNNNNNNNNNNNNNNNNNNNNNNNNNNNNNNNNNNNNNNNNNNNNNNNNNNNNNNNNNNNNNNNNNNNNNNNNNNNNNNNNNNNNNGUUCUUGGAGGGAAGGAUGCCGGGGGUCUAUUUGGAAACAGCCUCUCUAUCCAAGGGUAGGGGUAAGGUCUGCGUACAUACUACCCUCCCCCGACCCCACUAAGUGGGAUUAUACUGGGUUGUUGUUGUUGUUGUUUGUAGUUGCGCAUUUACAUUUGGGAUACGGAUGUAGGAUUCCAGUAGCUCCCCCUUGUUUGUUUACUUUGGGACUAUGGGUUAGAUUUCCGGUAAAUCCCCCUGCACUUUUACUUUGGGACUACGGGUUAGAUUCUCGGUAGACCCCCUGCAUAUUGAUAGUUGAACUAUGGGACGAUAUCCCGGGAGAUCCUUCGCAUAUUCUCAUAUGAUGGACUACGGGACGAUAUCCCGAGAUCUCCUCGGACAGUUGAUGAAAUGGACUACAGGACGGUAUCCUGGGAUAUCCGCGUUGUUGGUAUUGAUGUCGGGCUGUUUUACUCUGUUUUACCUUAUUCUCUAUUUGUUAUUUGUUGCUUUGUAUAACAUGUCUUCCUUCAUAGUUGUAUUCAUUAUUUCUUUUUAUUUCAUACUGUUACAAGGCUUAUUAAUAUAUUUUAUCAUAGUAGGGCCCUGACCUUCCUCGUCACUACUCAACCGAGGUUAGGCUUGGCACUUACUAAGUACUGUUGUGGUGUACUCAUGCCCCUUCUAUGCAUGUUUUUCAUGUGCAGAUCCAGGUACCUCCACCUAGGCGCAUUAUCCUUGAGGCCGAGAGAGCUACGGAGACUUCGAGGUACAUCUACCGCGUCCGCAGACCAAAGAGUCUCCUUCUUUACUCUAUCUGUAGUGUUUAGCCUCUAUCAUACUCUUGUUGUAGACCUUUUUGGAGAUUAGAACAUUUUUCAGUACUUCUUCUAGCUUGUGUCCCCGUGAGUUUUCGGGUUUUGGGGUGAUAUUGUAGACUUUCGCAUUAUUGAGUUGUAUAUGCCGAGCAGCAUUCAUAUAUUUUUUCUUCUAGUUGUUCAGACUUAAUUAUUUAUUUUCGCAUGUUAUGUUAUUUCUGCAUUGUUUACCUAGUCGUAUGGACUAGGUGCCAUCACGGCAUAUUCAUGGAGGGUGAACUAGGUUGUGACAAGUUGGUAUCAGAGCUCUAGGUUCACAGGAGUCAUGAAACAUAGACAUGUUUAUUAGAGUCUCGCUGAUUGGCACGGAAACGUUUGUACUUAUCUACGAGAGGCUGUGUAACUGCUAGGAAAAUUUUCACUUUAUUUGAUAUCCUUGCCGUACGAUAUUUUGACAUGACAAUUCUAAACUUCUGUUUUCUAUUCUCUCACAAAUGGUGAGGACACGUGCUACUUGGGAUGAUUAGGCACCCGCGCCUUCUCCCGUAGCCGUUAGAGGCCAGGGCUGAGGUAUAGGCUGAGGACGUGCACGUGGUGUAUCGAGAGCACCUGCGCGAGCUGCCACCGAGGUACCACUAGCAGAUCUAGCCAGAGUCCAGGCACCCGACACACCUACUGCCACUACUACUCCAGCUCUUCAGGAGACUCUGGCUUAGUUCAUGAGUAUGUACACCACCUUGGCUUAGGCAGGGUUGCUUCCCCUUGCUUCAGCCACAUCCCAGACCACGAGAGGAGCAUACACUCCCGCCGCCUGCACUAAUAAGCAGUGAGUACAUGUUGAGAAGGUCCCAGAGAUCAUUCAUGUACCGCUUGUAGUACCAGUUCAGCCCAUGGAUGGGGCAGCUGCUUCAGAGGAUGAGCAGCGGAGGCUUGAGAGGUUCAAGAAGUAUGAUCCUUCGGUAUUAAGUAGAUUAGCAUCAGACGAUACCUUAAAGUUUCUAGAGGAGUUCCAUCAUAUUCUUCGCACUGUGGGCAUAGCCGGAUCUAGCGGGGUUUCCUUAACUACCCUCCAGCUUCGGGUAGCCACCUAUGAUUGGUGGCGCACAUAUGAGUUAGACAGUCCAGACGAGGCUGCUUCAAUGACCUGGACUCAGUUCUCAAAUAAGUUCCUGAGAGAGUUUGUUCCUCAGAGCCUCGGGGAUGCAUGGCGUGUAGAGUUUGAGCAUUUGAUCCAGGGUGCUAUGACAGUUUCAGAGUAUGUUAUCCGUUACACCAGAUUGGCUAGGCACGCACCGUCCUUGGUUGCUACCCUCUGCGAGAGGGUUUGCCGAUUCAUUGAGGGUCUUAUCCCACCCAUCAGAUCUAGCAUGGCUCGAGAGUUGGAGAUGGAAAUUCCUUAUCAGCAGGUAGUCAGUAUUGCUAGGAGGAUCGAGGUUAUGCUCACUAGGGAGCGAGAGGAGAGAGUGGCCAAGAGGUUUCCAGAGUCGGGCCACUACUCUGGUGCCCUUACCCUAGCGGAAGGUCGACAUGGUAGCGGUUUUAUGGGUCUCCCCAUUCAUUCAGCUCUUUCAACAGCCAGCAGUGCUUCAGCUCAACCUGGACAUUAGGAGCCUUACUUACCUCCAGUUUCUAGCGCGCCUCCUGCACGAGGUGCUUUCAGAGGUCAGUCUAACAGACCUGGCUCUAGCCAGUCACAUCCACCACAUCAUGAUAGAGCUUGUUUUGAGUACGGCGAUAUACGCUAAAUGGUUAGGGGAUGCCCCAAACUUGGUAGGGGUGCAUCUUCAUAGACUUCUAAGCAACAGCAUGCUCAAUAGAGUUCUCAGGCCAUGAUCACAACUCCAGCUGCUACCCCAUCUGCCCAGCCAGCUAGAGGCAGAGGUGGGGGAGGUAGAGGUCGCCUUUGAAGGGGAGGCUAGGCUAGAUAUUAUGCUAUUCCUGCUCAUACUGAGGCGGUUCCCUCCGAUUCUAUCAUUAUAGGUAUUAUAGUGGUUUGUCAUAGAGAUGCAUCGAUUCUAUUCGAUCCACACUCUACUUACUCUUAUGUGUCUUCUUAUUUUGCUUUGCAUGUGGAUGUACCCAAAGAUUCCUUGAGUUCUCCUGUAUAUAUUUCUACACCCAUGGGGAACUCUUUUGUUGUGUACCGCGUGCAUCAGUCAUGUUUGGUUACUAUUCGUGGUUUUAAGACUAGGGUAUAUCUAUUGUUACUCAUCAUGGUUGAUUUUGAUAUUAUCUUUUGCAUGGAUUGGUUGUCUUCCCAUUAUGAUAUUCUUGAUUGUCACGCCAAGACCGUGACGCUGGCUAUGCCAGGUAUUCCGCGCGUUGAGUGGAGUGGUACUUUAGAUCACCCUCCCAAUAUAGUUAUCUCUUUUCUCAUGGCUUAACAUAUGGUUGAGAAGGGGUGUGCUGCGUAUUUAACUUGUGCGAUAGAUGUCAGUGUUGAUACCCCUUCUAUUGAUUCGGUCCCAGUGGUACAGGAUUAUCCCGAUGUGUUUCGAGCUGAUCUUCCUGGCAUGUCGUCCGACAGAGACAUUGAUUUUGACAUUGAUUUGUUGCCAAACACUCAGCCCAUUUCCAUUCCUAAGUAUCGUAUGGCUCCUACUGAGUUGAAAAAGUUGAAGGAUUGGUUGCAAGAAUUGCUUGAUAAGGAUUUUAUUGAACCCAAUGUUUCACCUUGGGGGGCUCCUAUCCUAUUUGUUAAGAAAAAGAAUGGUUUUAUGCGUAUGUGCAUGGAUUAUCAUCAGUUGAACAAGGUUAUAGUGAAGAACCGUUAUCCCUUGCCUCGUAUUGAUGAUCUAUUUGACUAGCUUCAGGGCGCACUUGUGGUUUCUAAGAUUUAUUUCCACUCAGGUUAUCACCAUUUGAAGAUUCGGGAGCCAGAUAUCCCAAAGACUGCCUUCAGGACUCGGUAUGGUUAUUACGAAUUCCUUGUUAUGUCAUUUGGGCCAAUGACCUAGCAGCUUUUAUGCAUUUGAUGCACAGUGUGUUCAAGCCAUAUCUUGACUCUUUUAUCAUUAUUUUCAUAGAUUAUCUUCUUGUAUACUCCCAAAGUCGGGAAGAUCAUGAGCAACACCCGAGGACCGUGCUUCAGACCUUGAUAGAGAAGAAGGUAUGUGCAAAGUUCUCAAAAUAUGAGUUUUGGUUGGAUACUGUGGCAUUCUUAGGCCACGUGGUAUCGAGUGAGGGCAUUCGGGUGGAUUUGAUGUAGGUGGAGACCGUACAAAGUUGGCCCAGGCCGUCCUCAGCUAUAGAGAUUCGCACUUUCCUUGGCUUGGCAGGCCUACUACCGUCGUUUUGUAUAGGGGUUUUCAUCGAUUGCAACCCCUUUGAGUAAAUUGACCCAGAAGGGUGCUCCAUUACGGUGGACAGAGAAGUAUGAAGCGAGCUUUCAGAAGCUCAAGACAGCCUUGACUACAACCCCAAUUUUGAUAUUACCUAUUGGUUUGGGGUCUUAUACAAUUUAUUGUGAUGCCUCACAGGUUGGACUUGGAGCGGUGUUGAUGUAGGACGGUAGGGUGAUUUCCUACAUGUCCAGACAGUUGCACAUAGUAAUUACAAAUAAGUUUAAAGCUUUUAAAAGAAGAAAGGAAAUAGACAUUUUUUAGAAAAAGAAUUAAUUAAAAGCAAAACAGAAUUUAAAGAAAACAUUGUAGAUAAAAAAGAAAAGGGAAGUGGGGGUCCUAGUUUUAAACAUAAUAUGGAUCACAUCAAUGCAAUAUCCAACAAUCACUCCUCAGAAGAGGGGUCGCACGUGAUAUUAGCGCACCGAUCACCAUAUCCAUAUCCUACCAUUCCAACCCCGUUAAGGUAUUAAAGUGUGUUUAGUCUCAUUAUUAGGACUUCUAAUCCUAAGAGGGAAGAAAGGGAUGGGGGCCUUUAUGGAGUUUAAAGGAUAAAAUUCUAAUUUCAACAUUCAAAAAAAGUACCAAAUAGAGGAAAAACAAAACAGAUAAGCAAGGCUCAAAUAAACCCCUUAAAUUAGAAAAACAUAUAGUUUAGCAUGUCUUGGCACAUACUGGUUUGGUCUUAGAUUAAAUUAAGCGGUGAGCGGACUGGUUCAACACAUAUAUUUAGAUAGAAAGUCAGCAUUAGGCAACUCGGAUACAAUUAUCAAAUAUUAAGGCAUUUAAAGCGAGUUGUUUUAGGCAGGUACUGACUUUAGAAGAUAAGCUAAUACAGAAGAGUUUUUGAAAGAAAACAGGCUGCAGACUUAAUUUAGAAAUGAUUUUCAAAAGGAUCAGCAGGCUAUCCAGUUAUAAAACACAAAAAUGGUUGUAAAAUAUUUUCAGAAGAGUAAAAACUUAUCUAAAGAAAAGAGUAAGCUACAGAACUGAUUUAAACAACGUUCAGUAAUUGAGUUUAAAAAAAUACAUUUAGGCAGAACAUUAGAGAAGCAGUUUCAAAGAAAAGGUAUGCAGAUUUGAAGAAUUCAAAUUUUAGGACAAAUGUACACUGAUUUAAGAGAGAGUUUUAUCAAGAGGUUAAAGCUUUUAAUAACGUUACUAAAUUAGUCAUUUAAGAACCAAUUAAUCAUUAAUUACUAAUUUAAACAUGACACGCGAGUUUGAUGCAAAUCCUAUAGGCAUGAUAUCUAUACUAUUGAUUUUUCAGAACCUGAAAAGAUGCUUGUUUAAUUAACCCUACAGUGUGCCUAAUGAAUAUGCAUAUCCUAUAGGCAUGAUAUCUAUAGAUAACUUUUUCAGAAAAUUUUAAACUCCUAUAGGCAAUAUCCCUAAAUGUGUAAUUGCAGAACAUGAGCGUUAAAUCCUAUAUACAUGCUUUUUAUGUUAUUUGUAAUGUAAUUAUAUGUUAAAUCCUAUAGGCAUGGACUCUAUGUGUUUUAAUCAGGAGCAUUAAACAACCCUGUAGGGAGGAUUUCUAGUAAAAGUAGUCCUAAAUCAUGAUUUCUACCCUUUUUUAGGCAAGAAAGUAAAGACCCCUCCCAUACCCUUUUACUAUAUUCCCUGAGUUUUAUACAAGUUAUUACAAACCAGAAAAGAUAAAAAUACAUCAAAGACUAACAGUUGCAUACAAGAUACCUAAGUCAGGCUAAAUGCCUAGAAAUAUGUGAUUAACCAAUUCCGAAAGCCAGAUUUCCAAAGCCUUCUCUUUAUCCCAAGUGUUUCAAAAUUCCAAGGAAUCUCAAGGAUUCCCGACAUUGCUUAUACACAGGAUACCAUUAGAACUGGAAUAGUGUAGUCUGGAAAUACCAGCCCUCACGCAUCCAAGUUUAGAGGGAGCUCAAGGGGUACCAAGUCAUGGCUUGCAAGAGAGGGGCAGAACUUAUAUCUAAGAGUAAGUGUAAAGUGAAAAGGGAAUUGGGGAGCCACAACAAAUGGUGGUCAUGCCUAGCUACAAGUGUAGGCUGGCACACCUCUGACCACUUGUUUAGUUAAACAAGUUAGGAGCAGACCCUUGAAGGUCAGACCAAGGUCUGGAUAGUGAUUAGGAAACUUUAAAGACCUAAGCCCAAGGCUCAAACACAUAGAAGGGGAAAGGGGAAUGGGAGUUGAUUGAGUGAGGGAUUCAAAGAACCUAGUUCAGAAUCAUAGACAUCAAUGUUAGAUUACUGUUAUGCCUUGAACUGUCCUCAUAUGCAAAGGGGUAAUGAGUAAGGGAAUUCACAUAAGCAAAGUGAUGACAAAGUUGCAGAAAAAACAGUAAAGGAAAGCACAGCAAAACUAGAAUGUAAAUCACAUAGUGGAGAAGUAGUAUUCAAAAUAAGAUGGACACACCAGUUGCAAAGUAAUAGAAUAGCAGAAUAAUCACAUCAAGCAAACAACAGGAACAACUCAGGUUUUCAGCAGAGUACUCGAAAAUUCAUAGAGAACUCGAAGGUAUUUCAGAAAGCAAAGAGGAGAAGUGCACAGAACUAGUGUGUGUAUUGGAGAGAAGAAGAGUGUAGAAAAGCAGAGUGCCUAUUAUUGAAUGUUACUCAUUCCUUUGUUAUUGUGUGUGUGUAAGAGUGCAAUUCAAAGUUCUGUUCAAGUGCAGAAGGGUAGUCCCCUUUUAUAGUACAGAAAGCAAGAAAGAAAAGGUAAGAAAAUAGCCUUGAAAUCAGUUUCAUAUGAUCUCCCUUUAUUCAAGAGAUUUGAUUUCAAACGGCCCGAAUAAAUAAGGAAAUAGUUUGAUUCAAAAUAUUUUCCAAAGUAGUACAAUAAGGGUAAAUACAGAGAAACUUAUUUAAGGAAGGAGUCUAGUAAUACACGGUUUGUGAGAUUAAGAAAAGGAAAUCAAUCAAACCACCAGUAAAAAUCAAAUUUGAAAACUUUGUCAAAUGAACCAAGUCACAAAAGGGUAAGGAAAGGUCAAUUAGGGAAAAUCAGUAACAGUCAAUCAGGACUCAUUUAAAGGAAAUCAGAAUCAAUUAGUGGUUGGCAAAACCUUUUCCGAAAGAAGGAUUUCUCAUAUAAAAAGCAAACAAAUCAAACAAAAGGGUUGUCUUGUUAUAAAAAAAAAAAGUCUAGUAUUGAAAGGUUCAAGAUCAAAGGGACACAAGUUUAGUUUGUAAACUCGUAGUCAUUCUGGGAGUUCAGGGUUCCAAAGUGGAACCCAAACUCAAACACAAAAUAAGGAGCCAAAGAACCCCCCCCCCCAAAUACUAGGGUUUUGAAUCAAAUCAAAUAUAGAGAUAAGAAAGAAAGUUAUUGAAAGAAAUUUUGAGAAAAAAAUGGGAAUGAUAGCAGCUUUGAAACAACCAGGAAAGAAAAUUGAUUCAAAGCAUGAAGAAUAUAUUUUUUAAGCCAAACUCGGAACUUAAACAAGUUCAGAAGAGAAAGAGUGACACAAACUUAAGAAACAGUAGCUAAAACAUGUUAGUAAACCUUGGACAAUGUUUAGUAAAGCAAACAAAAUUAAAGAACUCAGCAAGAAACACAUACAACAGAAAUCAUGUAGGAAAACAUAGCAGAGAUAAUCAUGCAAGCCUAGUCUAGAGGCGUAGUAAAACUUAUCAGAAGGUUUUCAAAACCCUAGUUUGAAACCAAACUAUUUUAAAAAGGAAAAUUAGGAAACUCUUAAAAUGUUUAAUAUAGCAUAGAUUUGCCACAUAUCUUGGCAAAUAAAGAAAGAAGAACAUCGAAUAGGCUAGGGUUUCUGAGAACCCUAAAGGACGAGAAGGCUUAGGAGUCUUCACGAAUGGAUUUAAGCCGAUAAAGUCAAAUUCAGGCUCAAAAGGCUAAAGCCUGCCGGAAACGCCAAAGAGACUCGAAUCGGCCAAGGUCUGGAUGAGGACCUUCGAGGUCUAGCCUUGAAUCUUCAAAGACCAAGCGUAUAGGAGUAGGAGAGGGUAAGUAGAGGUUGUACAUAGGUAGGGCAGUCAUGGAAUCCGGUAGAUUUGAGGUCGAAAAGGGUAGGCGGCGAUUAGGGAUUGAGAGCGUUUGAGAGCAUUUGAGAGAGAAGAGGUUUUGAGGGUGGCGUGUUUGAGAGAAUGACGAGGGUUUAGGGGUCGUUCAUGACUAAUAAGGAAAGGAUAGAUCUGGGUCGUUGAUCAAAAUGAUCAACGGCACAGAUUUUAAAAAAGAAAUUGGGGGAGUUUGAUUAAGGGGUCUAGGUCAGGUUAAAUCAAAAAUUAGGUUGGGAUAAUUUGGGUUUGAUUUGGGCUGAGUUGGGGUGCAACUAGGCUGGCAAUUUUGGCUACAAUUGAAAUAAACUUGAGCUUGAAUUUAAAUAGCCAAUAUUCACUUUAAUUUAUAAACAAUAGUAAUAACAAUUUUAAAAGUAAAUUAAAAGUGUUGAGUACAUAAAUAUUAUAUAAAUAUUAAAAUAAAAAAUACUGGAAGUGGUUUUAUAAUUGCAAAAUGCUAUAAUUACAAGAUAGGCUAUAAUUGCAAUUGUAUGCAAUUUAGCUUUAAAAAUGCCAAAUGAAUUUGUAAAAAUUUGCAAAAAUCACUCUAAUUAAAUUUUUGGUGUAAAUAUGAGUAUAAAAUAGGUUAUUCACCAAAAUGAUGAUUUUGGAAUAAUAUUUGGGAUUUUUAUAAUACAAAAUAGGCGAUAAACUGGUUUAAAAAUACCAAAACUCUAGGUGUGCUUAUAUAUGAAAAUAUAUGCUAUUUUGGAAGUAUUUUAGGUACACAAAAUAUAUAGAGAAAAAUUGGGUAUCAACAAACCCCAAAUGCACAUUUUGCGGGAUUCAAUUUUAGGUUGUACCUUCUCAAUCUAUUGAAGAAUUUCCUCAAGUCCUCCAUGUGAUCAGUUGCUUUCUUGGACUUGAUGAUAACAACAUCUACAUAUACUUCAAUUUCCUUAUGUAUCAUAUCGUGGAAAAUGGUAGGCAUGACCCUCAUGUAGGUGGCCCCAGUAUUCUUUAACCCAAACGACAUCAUCUUGUAACAGUACAUUCCCCACGGCAUAAUGAAAGCCGUUUUCUUAGCAUCUUCUUCCUCCAUCUAGAUCUGAUGAUACCCAGCGAAACAAUUAACAAAUGACUGCAACUCAUGGUUGGCGCAAUUAUUGAUCAGGAUAUGUAUGUUUGGCAAAGGGAAUUCAUCUUUCGAACUGGCCCAAUUGAGAUCCCGGUAGUCAACACAAGCUCUGACCUUCCCAUCCUUCUUCUGUACAGGCACAAUAUUGGCUAGCCAUGAGAGAUAUUCUACUACCCUGAGAACCUUAGAUUUGAUAUGCUUAGUGAGAUCUUCUUUGAUUUUCAAACUCAUAUCAGGCUUGAAAUUUUUGAGUUUUUGCUUUACCGACGGACAUGUUGGAUCGGUUGGGAGUUUGUGAACCACGGUGGAUAUACUCAGACUUGUCAUAUCAUCAUACGACCAGGCGAAUAUGUCCUCAUAUUUCCUUAAAAAUUCUGUGUACUCUUCCUUUUCUAGCGGUGACAAAUGGACGUUGAAUCGUGCUUUUUUUGACAUUCUCUGCGUCUCUCAAGUUUACGAUCUCAGUCUCGUCCAAGUUGGACUUAGGCUUGUUCUCAAAAUUUUUGACUUCCUUAAUUCAUCUUCUUCCGCAUCUAUGUCUGUUUGUUGCGUUGUCUCAUUGCACGUCAUAGUCAUUAGUUCAUCAAGACAAGUAAUAGUAAUGUUGUAUAAGUAAAGUAAUGAGAGGAAACAAUAGUAAUAAGUGUUGAUUCAUAAGAAAAAUCAAAAUGCUUUGAUAAAUUGCAUAAUUGUUUUAAACAUUGGAGAUCUUAUUGCAGGAAUGGAAAAUAUGUAAAAAAAAAAACAAAAAAUUUAGUAAAUAAAAUAGUGCUUGUUUUUAGCCUUCCUACACCGAGGCUCGUUGGGAUCUGGUUGUCCUGAUGGUCCAGUUAUUAAGGUGGGGCCCUCUACUUACGGCAUGUAUGGAAGGGCCUUCCUCCCCCUCCUUCUCGAGAACAACACAACAAUCCAUGUCAUUGUCCUCUAAGAACAAGUUCCUCACAGCUACUAGUGCUUCCUCUUCUUCUGAUCCGUAGAUAACAUCGACCAAUUGGAAAGUCUGUUCCAAAUGCAGUAUCGGCUGCUCCAGCAGAUAAUAAGGAACGUCUAUGGUGGCGACCAGCUGUUGAAUUCCUCCCAUCUGUACUCAUAUCCCAAACUGAAACUAGUGCCAUGCUUUUUGAGCUUUAUAGGCUUAGCGAUUACUCGGAGAUUUUUACAGAGCCAUUUGCCAGGUUCGUACAAAGACAAUUCAGUAUACUCUUGAUCUUGUUAUCCCACCAUUUGUCUUUGUCAACAACAUUCAUCCUUUCGAUAUGAUGGUAUGUUUCUCCUCCUUGCUUCUUUCUUCCUUCGAUUGACAAAAUGGUCUGGUGACUAUAUAUAGGAUUGCUCCCGUCUCCAUGAAUGAUUACCUCAUGAUGGUUCUAUUCGAAUUUCACAUCCUGAUGCAGUGAUGAUACCACAGCCCCAGCAGCAUAAAUUAAUAUGGUUCCCAACAUCAGAUUGUAAGAUGUCGGUACAUCUAUCAUUUGGAAGUCAAAAUCAAAACAAGUUGGCCCCAUUUGCAAACACAGACUAGUCUCCCCAAUGGUAGAUCUUUGGAAUCCAUCUAAGGAUUUUAUGUUGAUAGCUUUGUCCUUUAUCUCGUGCAAUCCUUUGCCCAAUUUCUUCAGUGUUACUAGUGGAUAAAUGUUGAGGCUGGAACCUCCAUCGAUCAGGAUUCUGGUGAUGAAGUAGCCCUCGUAUUGCACGGUGAUGUGCAAUGCCUUGUUGUUUCCUAACCCUUGAGGCAGUAGCUCAUCCUCAUGAAAAGUAAUUUUGUGACUUUCUAUACCUGUCCGACCAUGUUAGCCAUUUCUCCACCACUAAUGUUGCUUGGAACGUAUGCUUCACUCAAUACCCUCAACAAAGCAUUUGUGUGUGCCUCAAAAUUCUGUAGCAAAGCAAAAAUGGAGAUUUGCGUCGGUGUCUUGUUCAACUUGUCGAUGACCGAGUAUUCCUUGGCAUGUAUCUUUCUCCAAAGAUCGUUUGCACCUAUCUCAAUGAUGGGCGACCAAUUAGAGGCAUGCAUGCUUAACUCAGCUAAGUGUUCAGCAGCAUAAACUCUACCAGUUCUUAUCAUACCCUAUGUGGUAAUAGUUUCCUUGGUCCUACCCUUGCUUUUUCUUCUUGCCUUGGCUGUAUAGUCCAAUGGUAUAGCCUUGGUAUGGAAUGGUGUCAUGGCCAACAUCGCCACUAGGAUCGGCACGGGUAUCUUCGCUCCGAACGGAGCAUAUGCUUUGGGAGGUAAAACUGCAACUUCAAAUGGUGUAGAUGCAUUUGUUGGAGACAUGAAUUCAACCUCAAUUGGUUUGGGAGCCUUUGCGGUUGCUUCAAACUCAAGUUCCACAGACAUGUUUACCUCAGCGUCCCUAGAGCGCUGAAUUUGGACCACGAUCAGAUUAAGAGUAACUAUUGGUUUUUUUGGGUUAUCACCUUCUGUGAUCAACCUAAUUCACCCUUCAGGAUCCCAAUCAUCCUCUAUUUCAAUCAUGUGAACACCCCCGCCCUUAUGGUCUAGUGGAGGGUUAUUGCCGACGUUCGUAGCGGGUUCCUUUGCCACAAUGAUCUUGUUGCCAAUCAAAGCCUGGAUCUUGUCUUUCAAAGAGCGACAUUCGUCGAUGGUGUGUCUUUUCAUGUCAGAAUGGUAUGUGUAUGAUUUGUUUGGAUUAAUCUACUGAUAAUGGUUCUCAGGGGUUACAACUAGGAUAGGGGUGACAUAACCAGCGGUUUUGAGCCUUUCGUACAACUGUUCAAUCAAUUCAACAAUGGUCGUAUACUAUUUAAGAGGUCUAAGGUCAAAAUUUGGUCGAGGUCUCGGGAAGUUUUGGCAUGCACGAGGUGAUUGAUAGUGGGAUGGUUAAGCAUUGUAGGCUUGGUAGACAUGUGCAGGUUGGGAAUAUCUAGGUGAAGUAGGUUGAUAUGUGGGAGGUGGAGGUGAUUGAUAAGUGGGUGAUGGGUUUGGUAAGAGGUUGAGGGUUCUUGGUAGUUAGGGGUACGCUGAUAUAUGAGUGAAGGCAUUGGAUGGGCUUGGUAUUUGAUAGUGGAUUUGGUUCUCUGUGCAACCAUCACGGCACCUACGUCCAAUUUCUUGGACGCACCACCAGAGGGUAAGGCCUUAUUUAUAGCUUGCAAGGCCUAAAGGUUUGUAAGUAACCAUACCACUUUUGAUGCCUUCCUCGAUCAUUUCUUCCAGCUUGAUAAUGUCAAAACAUUUGUGGUUCUCAAUAAGCAUUAGCAUUUCAUAAUAUUGCGGGUCCUGCGCCCGGACGAAAAGCUUGUUCAUUUGUUCCUCCUCUAAUGCAGGUCUGACCUUAGCAACUUCUGAUCUCCAGCGAGUAUCAUACUCGUGGAAUGUUUCCGUGGGCUUCUUCUUUAGGUUCUAAAUGCAGAACACAUCUAGUGCAUUUUCUGUGUUGAACCUGAACAUGUCUAUAAAGUUGGAUGCCAUACUCACCCAUUUCAACCAUUUCUUUGGGUCUUGGCUACACCAAGAUAGAGCAUCUCCUUUUAGGCUCCUCAUGAAAAGUUUCAUGCGGGUCUUCUCGUCUUCCCCUACUCCGACCAGCUUGUUGCAGUAUGUUCUAAAAUGGACUCUCACAUCCCCUAUACCAUCAAACAUCUCAAACUUAGGAGGUUUGUACCCCUUGGACAGUUCAACAUCGGUUGUAUUCAACGAUUUUCGUAAUUCAGUCCUUCAAUAUCCUUUCUUCCUUCAACACCCCGAAUUCGUCUAGUCAAUCGUGAGUUCUUCUACCAUGUUCCUAAUGAGUGAGUCUUUAUCAUCAGACUCAGGUGUGCUUGAUAUGGGUUGGGUGGAGUGUGGCAUGGUCUCCACAUAGAUGGGGGUGUUAUGAUGGGUGUGGAAGUGGUCAUUUGUGGAGUUCAAGGGUUCGGGGAUGAGCAGUGCAGUGUUGCUUAAAGUAUGGUAGGCGAUGCAAUGGUGGCGAGGAGCAGGAUGGUUUUAUGACUUUGGGAUGUUUUGUAGAGGUGUGGGGUUCUGAGAAUUUAGGAAAUUGACUCUAGAGUGGUGAGGGAAACUGACAGAUUUGCCAGAUUCCGAACCUGAUUAAGUUCCUCUUGGAACUUCAGCAGCUUUUGUUCGAGUUGGGAUGCAUUUUCUUUAGAAACCUGAGUAACAUGGGCAUGAGUGACCUCUACCCAUUCAGUUGAGUUCUUGUUUCUGGUGUUGUACAGAUCUCCCAUCUUCCCUUUGUUCUUGUUUCUGAUAGAACUAAGAGGAUGAGUGGGUGGAGGGCCCUUGGAUCUCAUGGAAUAAGAUUAUGUUUCCAUAAUGCAUGAACUAACCUUUGGGGAGGGGAAUAAGCAAAACAAAAAAUAAAACAGAAAAAGGUAACCAAGUCAGUGAGGGUUAUAAGAAAAUGUUGCGCUAGUUAAACACAUAGUGCAAGAAUGUAAAUCGUGUCCUAAUUUGGGGACCUCUUUAUGCCCGAGGUAGGUCUAGCGACAAAUUGAUUUGGAGAAAUUAGGAUGCUAAAUGCCUCAUUUUAUUGAUAAAAAGUAGACGAACCCUAAAUCGACGCUAAACAACCGAAAAUAAAAUGUCACUAGCGGCCAUUGGCCUUAUUACAUUUCAUAAAGCAAAAAAGAAAAUUUAUAUCUAUUUGGUCCCAGAAGGACCUUCCCCAGACUCAGCAUAUUUGGCUCCGUCGAACAGCUUUCCCAAUUAUCGACCUUCCUGAGCAAGAUCACGUCCUUCAUUACGAGCUUUUACACAUGCUUCUAGAGCUACUUGAUUUGCUACGGCACCUGGCGCAUUACCCCAAGGAUGUCCUAAAGUUCCUCCACCGAACUGUAGUACGGAAUCAUCCCCAAAGAUCUCGGUCAGAGCAGGCAUAUAAUUUGGGGACCUCUUUAUGCCCGAGGUAGGUCUAGCGACAAAUUGAUUUGGAGAAAUUAGGAUGCUAAAUGCCUCAUUUUAUUGAUAAAAAGUAGACGAACCCUAAAUCGACGCUAAACAACCGAAAAUAAAAUGUCACUAGCGGCCAUUGGCCUUAUUACAUUUCAUAAAGCAAAAAAGAAAAUUUAUAUCUAUUUGGUCCCAGAAGGACCUUCCCCAGACUCAGCAUAUUUGGCUCCGUCGAACAGCUUUCCCAAUUAUCGACCUUCCUGAGCAAGAUCACGUCCUUCAUUACGAGCUUUUACACAUGCUUCUAGAGCUACUUGAUUUGCUACGGCACCUGGCGCAUUACCCCAAGGAUGUCCUAAAGUUCCUCCACCGAACUGUAGUA
This 16270-nucleotide long non-coding RNA is filed under the name Nicotiana benthamiana. Its description in RNAcentral is "long non-coding RNA (NBEN_LNC010796)". The record is from RNAcentral. Lineage: Eukaryota; Viridiplantae; Streptophyta; Magnoliopsida; Solanales; Solanaceae.